AUAUCAAUAAGCGGAGGAAAAGAAACCAACAGGGAUUGCCCCAGUAACGGCGAGUGAAGCGGCAAAAGCUCAAAUUUGAAAUCUGGCCCUUUCAGGGUCCGAGUUGUAAUUUGCAGAGGAUGCUUCGGGUGCGGCCCCGGCCUAAGUUCCUUGGAACAGGACGUCAUAGAGGGUGAGAAUCCCGUCUUUGGUCGUCGGCCCGCGCCCGUGUGAAGCUCCUUCGAAGAGUCGAGUUGUUUGGGAAUGCAGCUCUAAGCGGGUGGUAAAUUUCAUCUAAAGCUAAAUAUUGGCCGGAGACCGAUAGCGCACAAGUAGAGUGAUCGAAAGGUUAAAAGCACCUUGAAAAGGGAGUUAAACAGCACGUGAAAUUGUUGAAAGGGAAGCGCUUGCGGCCAGACUCGGGUGCGGGGUUCAGCGGACGCGUGUCGUCCGUGCACUCCCCGUUUCCCGGGCCAGCAUCAGUUUCGACGGCCGGUCAAAGGCCUCUGGAAUGUGUCGUCUCUCGGGACGUCUUAUAGCCAGAGGUGCAAUGCGGCCUGUUGGGACUGAGGAACGCGCUUCGGCUCGGAUGCUGGCAUAAUGGCCGUAAGCGGCCCGUCUUGAAACACGGACCAAGGAGUCUAACAUCCACGCGAGUGUUCGGGUGUCAAACCCGUGCGCGCAGUGAAAGCGAACGGAGGUGGGAGCCUUAGGGCGCACCAUCGACCGAUCCUGAAGUCUUCGGAUGGAUUUGAGUAGGAGCGUGGCCGUUGGGACCCGAAAGAUGGUGAACUAUGCCUGAAUAGGGUGAAGCCAGAGGAAACUCUGGUGGAGGCUCGCAGCGGUUCUGACGUGCAAAUCGAUCGUCAAAUUUGGGCAUAGGGGCGAAAGACUAAUCGAACCAUCUAGUAGCUGGUUCCUGCCGAAGUUUCCCUCAGGAUAGCAGUAACGAUUUUCCAGUUUUAUGAGGUAAAGCGAAUGAUUAGAGGCCUUGGGGUUGAAACAACCUUAACCUAUUCUCAAACUUUAAAUAUGUAAGAAGCCCUUGUUUCUUAAGUGAACGUGGGCACUAGAAUGGACGUUACUAGUGGGCCAUUUUUGGUAAGCAGAACUGGCGAUGCGGGAUGAACCGAACGCGAGGUUAAGGUGCCGGAAUGCACGCUCAUCAGACACCACAAAAGGUGUUAGUUCAUCUAGACAGCCCGACGGUGGCCAUGGAAGUCGGAAUCCGCUAAGGAGUGUGUAACAACUCACGGGCCGAAUGAACUAGCCCUGAAAAUGGAUGGCGCUCAAGCGUGCUACCCAUACCUCGCCGUCGGGGUUGAAAUGACGCCCCGACGAGUAGGCAGGCGUGGAGGUCCGUGACGAAGC
RNAcentral lists this ribosomal RNA (1350 nucleotides) under Ctenomyces serratus. RNAcentral describes it as "LSU rRNA". It matches the Rfam family "Eukaryotic large subunit ribosomal RNA", at positions 40 to 1409 of the family's 3401-position model. The record is from RNAcentral. Lineage: Eukaryota; Fungi; Ascomycota; Eurotiomycetes; Onygenales; Arthrodermataceae.